GUAAGCGGUGCUCAGCCGCUAAGUCAUGUCCCACUCUUUACGACUCCCAUGGACUGUAACCCACCAGGCUCCUCUGUCCAUGGGACUCCCCAGGCAAAACUACUGGAAUGGGUUGCCAUUUCCUCCUCCAGGGGAUCUUCCAGACCCAGGGAUUGAACCCUCGUCUCUUAUGUCUCCUGCAUUGGCAGACAGGUUCUUUACCACUAACGCCACCUGGGAAGCCCUUGGGAACCUUCAUAUAUGAUUCUCCCCCUGAAUAGAAAUCCACCUCCUUUACCCAAUUAAUAUCCUCAGACUUAAGAUUUAGCCUCCAUUUUUCUUUCUUUGUUUCAGUCCUUGGGUCAGGAAGAUCCUCUGGAAUAGGAAAUGGGAACCCACUCCAGUAUUUUUGCCAGGAAAAUUACAUGGACAGAGAAGCCUGGUGGGCUACAGUCCAGGAGGUUGCAAAGAGUUGGACACCAUUGAGCACACACACAUUUCUUCGUUUGUGUGCUUUCCUGAGACCUAAUAGAAAUCAUUGUUCCCCUUUACCAGGCUUGUGCAACCAUCCUGCAGCUGCUGUGAGC
Molecule: long non-coding RNA, 566 nt
Organism: Bos taurus (domestic cattle)
Lineage: Eukaryota; Metazoa; Chordata; Mammalia; Artiodactyla; Bovidae
Source: Ensembl